AGAUGUCUGCAAGGCUGCAAACAGCUCCAGCUGCCUUUGCACCCCAUGCAGUGGUACCAGGAGAAAAUGCAUGCACCAGCCAUGCUGUUAUUCAUUCAUUCACUCAUUUGCUUGUAUGGCUGCAGUGCUGAUCACAAGCAAGCAUUCCCCAAGACCCAGUUUGAAGGCUGGUUACGAUUGCUGAGAUGAGAUGACAGAUGGGGAGCUCCACUGCAGCUUGCAAGUCAAGUUGUCACAAGGCAGAAGAGCAGAGAAUGGAGGUGCCCAACUGACAGACCAACAGAUGACAGCCAUCUUCUCCAGAGAUGAUAGAAAGCACACUGAACACUGCGGAGCCGCAGAUAUUAUCUUUAUUCAGCACGGUCCCCAGCCCUCUUACUCCAGUUCACUUUCCAGAAACUCCAGAGCAAUGAGCUGGAAGUUUCUUUUCUUAACUCUUGCAAAACCUCCUGUAGUUAUUCGAGCACUGUGAGCCUCUGGAAGAUGACUGAUCAGCCCUUUGUGUUUUGUUUGGUUUUCUCAUCUCUUUCACGAAGCAAGAUCGUUUUUGCCAAUUCCUCUUAAGACAAGCAUAGGCUCAACCUUUGCGUUUAAGGGCUCACACAGCUGCUAUUGGUGUGCAAAAGCCAACAGUAUUAAAGUGACCUCAGUGCA
Long non-coding RNA from Cygnus olor (mute swan), 654 nucleotides. RefSeq lists it as uncharacterized. The transcript is spliced from 2 exons. The record is from RefSeq and is a predicted model, not a curated record. Lineage: Eukaryota; Metazoa; Chordata; Aves; Anseriformes; Anatidae.